CUGCCCCUCAGCGCGCGUGCGGACGGAGGGCGCGUGCGGCUGCGCGGGAACGCGCUGAAGCGGCUGCGGGCAGCGCGCCGGAGCCGGGACGGAGCGGAGCUAAAGAAGUAAACAGCUCAUGGCACGUUUAACAAAAAGAUGACAGGCGGAUACAAAAGCUAUCCAGCAUCUUUGGGCAGCCAUUGAGAUUAUACGGAACCAGAAGCAAAUUGCCAACAUUGACCGUAUUACCAAGACUGUCGUGCUCCAGCUCCUGAGGACUUUACCAUGGAUCCGUGCGUUACUGUGAAUCGUCUCACGUGAGGGUGUCUCACCCUGUCCAUUGCAGCUGCAAGAUUUCCAAUCAAGAUGUAAAGGGUGAAGAAUCAAAGAACAAAGAAUCAGUAACAAGUGAAAUUUAAGCCUUCAGUCAUGCAGAUUCCUAAUAUGAUUCAUAACUCAUUGUCAUGUUAUUUCUCUAAAUGCCAUGUAUAGUUUAAUGUCCAAUAAAAUCAAGUUACAUAUAUCA
Long non-coding RNA from Lemur catta (Ring-tailed lemur), 508 nucleotides. RefSeq lists it as uncharacterized. Lineage: Eukaryota; Metazoa; Chordata; Mammalia; Primates; Lemuridae. The transcript is spliced from 4 exons. The record is from RefSeq and is a predicted model, not a curated record.